Molecule: ribosomal RNA, 253 nt
Filed under: uncultured bacterium
Lineage: Bacteria
Description: partial 16S ribosomal RNA
Rfam family: Bacterial small subunit ribosomal RNA
Source: RNAcentral
UACGUAGGGAGCAAGCGUUGUCCGGAAUCAUUGGGCGUAAAGCGCGCGUAGGCGGCCAGAUAAGUCCGGUGUGAAAGUCACAGGCUCAACCUGUGAAUGCCGCUGGAAACUGUCUGGCUUGAGUCCGGAAGGGGCGAGUGGAAUUCCUGGUGUAGCGGUGAAAUGCGCAGAUAUCAGGAGGAACACCAAUGGCGAAGGCAGCUCGCUGGAACGGUACUGACGCUGAGGCGCGAAAGCGUGGGGAGCGAACAGG